UUUAUGCUUCCUCAUAUCGAAAAGUUAGCUGUGGAAACUAAUUGUGACAAAUAUUUUCUCUUCAUUCUCACUUCUGCGGAAAACCCAAUUUCAUUGUCUACAGUCAAUGCAAGAACGUUGACUUCGGAGGAGGUGGCUUCUAAUGAAUCAUCUGGUGGAGAGAAAUGCGUUUAUGGGAAAGUAUCUCUGAAAUUUCUUUAUGAGAUUUUGAAUAUAUCUCCAGAUUCUCCUUUGCAAUAUCGAACUGAG
This 249-nucleotide small RNA is filed under the name Vigna angularis var. angularis. Its description in RNAcentral is "Non-protein coding transcript". Lineage: Eukaryota; Viridiplantae; Streptophyta; Magnoliopsida; Fabales; Fabaceae. The record is from RNAcentral.